GACGAACGCUGGCGGCGUGCCUAAUACAUGCAAGUAGAACGCUGAAGCUUGGUGCUUGCACCGAGCGGAUGAGUUGCGAACGGGUGAGUAACGCGUAGGUAACCUGCCUGGUAGCGGGGGAUAACUAUUGGAAACGAUAGCUAAUACCGCAUAACAGUAGAUAUCGCAUGAUAGCUACUUGAAAGGUGCAAAUGCACCACUACCAGAUGGACCUGCGUUGUAUUAGCUAGUUGGUGAGGUAACGGCUCACCCAGGCAACGAUACAUAGCCGACCUGAGAGGGGGAACGGCCACCCUGGGACUGGGACACGGCCCAGACUCCUACGGGAGGCAGCAGUAGGGAAUCUUCGGCAAUGGACGGAAGGCUGACCGAGCAACGCCGCGUGAGGGAAGAAGGUUGUCGGAUCGGAAAGCUCUGUUGUAAGAGAAGAACGAGUGUGAGAGUGGAAAGUUCACACUGUGACGGUAUCUGACCAGAAAGGGACGGCUAACUACGUG
This 497-nucleotide ribosomal RNA is filed under the name uncultured bacterium. Its description in RNAcentral is "partial 16S ribosomal RNA". It matches the Rfam family "Bacterial small subunit ribosomal RNA", at positions 28 to 507 of the family's 1533-position model. The record is from RNAcentral.